Schistosoma mattheei is the source of this 45-nucleotide non-coding RNA. Lineage: Eukaryota; Metazoa; Platyhelminthes; Trematoda; Strigeidida; Schistosomatidae. The record is from Rfam.
GUCCAGCUGACGAGUCCCAAAUAGGACGAAAUACGAAUCCUGAAU